GGCGGAGGGUGAGUAACACGUGGGCAACCUGCGUGUAAGCGUGUAAUAACUUCGGGAAACCGAAGCUAAUACCGGAUAGGCUCUUCUCCUUCAUGGGAGAUGAUUGAAAGAUGGUUUCGGCUAUCACUUACAGAUGGGCCCGCGGUGCAUUAGCUAGUUGGUGAGGUAACGGCUCACCAAGGCAACGAUGCAUAGCCGACCUGAGAGGGUGAUCGGCCACACUGGGACUGAUAUACGGCCAAGACUCUUAUGGGUUGCUACCUUAGGUUAUUUUCCUGAAUGUUAGAUGUUUGGUGGUUGCUACCUUCCGUGAGAGAUGUUGCGCUUUGGGUGUGUGAUGUUGGUUUAUUUGUUGAAAUGUUGUAGGCCGUUUCUUUUGCCCUUCUUUUUUUUUUAUGUUAUGGACCCUACCUAUUUUUCACUGCUGUUUAGUUUCGAGCUUUCGUACAUUAUUUAUGUGUUUACAGUUAUGAUAAUUUAUCUUGAUAUGUGUUAACUUUCGUUAAUUGCUUUUUAUCUUUGCGUGUCUCGUUUUCUGUGGUAUUCUUUACACGCAGGAUGUGCUGGGUUACUUGGUGAGUAUACUUGUAUUAUGCUUCAAUUUCUAAUCGUCUGCAGUGGCUUGUUGUUACUUUGUUCGUUUACCUUUUUCGCCUGGUAAUAAACUGUUUUAUGAGUCUGUCUAAUUUAUUCCUUUCCUUUUUAUUCUCUCUGUGUUGUGUAAGCUCUCCUUGUCUGUGUGUAUAUUUCUGCUACUUAAUAUCUGCUUUCGACUGUAGUAUGUUUCUUUUCUUUAUUGCUCUUAUACUUAUUCCCGUACUCAUUGGUUCCCCUCCUGUAUUAGUUUGGAUCUACUAGACAUUGUAUGAUCUUUUAUUUUAGAUUCCAUUCUUUUUAUCUUCGUUAUUCCUCUUUCCUUUACUUCUUUUUUAGACACUUUUAGGCUAUUGACCUCCUUCUUCUUCUUGUUAUUCUCUGCAUUCUUA
This 986-nucleotide ribosomal RNA is filed under the name Priestia megaterium. RNAcentral describes it as "Bacillus megaterium partial 16S ribosomal RNA". The stretch from base 1 to 261 matches the Rfam family "Bacterial small subunit ribosomal RNA", at positions 97 to 352 of the family's 1533-position model. The record is from RNAcentral. Lineage: Bacteria; Bacillati; Bacillota; Bacilli; Caryophanales; Bacillaceae.